CCCACCCCCCGCACCCCUGACAAGUGUAGCUAGGAGACAGGUUAAUCUUCAGAGCUGCUGGCCAAGGUGAAACUGCAGUCCGGACCACAAGCACGGUCAGUCGGCGGUGCCUCCGUUCCUGUGCACACCACCCACUACCCAAACCUGACUGGCUUCCUUCACACCAUCACCUGAGGGGCAAAUGCAUGCCCCCCUCCCCUCGCCCAACCAUCUCACUGCUGCCUGAACAGGUCUGAGGAACUAAAAUCUGCAAAGCUGAGCUUACGUAGGCAAAGAAAAAGCAAAACAAGAGGCCUCUCUUUCCAGAUCUCGGAAUUCCUCUUAAAUAAACUCGGAUACUCGGAUAAACUGAAAAUAAUAGCGUCCUCACCUAGAACAAGAGGGCUUGGCUGGCCUUGCUUCUAAAAACACAACCACCUCAAAGGGGCCAAUGACACCGGGACUGGCUAGACACACCGACCUACAAGGCAAAGCGCAAGCAAAACCCGGGACGGCGCUGGGCACGGUUUAAAUCGGACUGUUCUUUCUCCAGGCUGAGGGGGCGCUCGCCGUCCCCAACAGAGACAGUGCAGGGACAAUGGUGCGCUAGGCAUGAUCUUUUUCUUUGGAAGGAAACCCAUAGACCCUUAAUUCAACCCCCAUCCCUAAGAAACCUUCGUGAGGUGGAAGAGAGGAGUGGUCCAGGUCACAUCAGGUUAUGCACCGCGGCCGGGGACGCACUCUUGGCCUGGGGAUAGGGCAAGAACCUCCCAACAACGUUGGGCACACUUGAACACCCCUGAUACAGAAGGAUCAAGAAGGACCGGCCCGUCCCUACCCAUGGAGAUUUCCACCCCAGGCUGUCUGCAGGCUGCAAGCAUCCUGGAAAUGGAUGGCAGAAUCAGAGACGGUAAGUACAGAGCACAGAGACCAGUUUGGAAGCUGACAUCAGUGAAGAUAUAAUCAGAGCAGUGGCAAUGACAGAGGGAAUGGAAAAAGGAUGCACAAAUGAUGGCUACCAUCUGGGGACCAAAUGCUCUUUGCUUACUAUAUUGUCUCUCCUCAUCAUAAGAUAGGUGAUGGCCUUUGCCCCAUUUUAUGGAUGAGGAAAUUGAAGUCACUUGGAAGUGGAAGAGCCAGAACUGGAACCCUUUUCCACAUUCAUUAAAAAUCCUCAUUUCCCUUCUCAGCA
This is a long non-coding RNA of Phacochoerus africanus (Common warthog), 1171 nucleotides long. RefSeq lists it as uncharacterized. The record is from RefSeq and is a predicted model, not a curated record. Lineage: Eukaryota; Metazoa; Chordata; Mammalia; Artiodactyla; Suidae. The transcript is spliced from 3 exons.